AGCGAACGCUGGCGGCAGGCCUAACACAUGCAAGUCGAACGAACCUUUCGGGGUUAGUGGCGGACGGGUGAGUAACACGUGGGAACGUGCCUUUAGGUUCGGAAUAACUCAGGGAAACUUGUGCUAAUACCGAAUGUGCCCUUCGGGGGAAAGAUUAAUCGCCUUUAGAGCGGCCCGCGUCUGAUUAGCUAGUUGGUUGAGGUAAUGGCUCACCAAGGCGACGAUCAGUAGCUGGUCUGAGAGGAUGAUCAGCCACAUUGGAACUGAGACACGGCCCAAACUCCUACGGGAGGCAGCAGUGGGGAAUCUUGCGCAAUGGGCGAAAGCCUGACGCAGCCAUGCCGCGUGAAUGAUGAAGGUCUUAGGAUUGUAAAAUUCUUUCACCGGGGACGAUAAUGACGGUACCCGGAGAAGAAGCCCCGGCUAACUUCGUG
Molecule: ribosomal RNA, 434 nt
Filed under: uncultured bacterium
Lineage: Bacteria
Description: partial 16S ribosomal RNA
Rfam family: Bacterial small subunit ribosomal RNA
Source: RNAcentral